Momordica charantia (bitter melon) is the source of this 313-nucleotide non-coding RNA. The record is from RefSeq and is a predicted model, not a curated record. Lineage: Eukaryota; Viridiplantae; Streptophyta; Magnoliopsida; Cucurbitales; Cucurbitaceae.
UAUUUGGUGCUAAAGGUGGUGCCACAUCAAUCUCAAGAGACGGUGAUGUUAGGUGGCAGAAUGCAGAGCUGUCAACUGAAAGUGGAUACGCAGUCUGAAGGUUGGCAUAAAACAAUCACCAAAAUUUUUUCCACUGUCGAAGGAGUUUCAUAUUAGAUUCACGUGGAGAGAGUAGUGGCAAGUGUGAGUGGAAAUGUAGACCUUCAAAGCUUCUUGAAGAUGCUUUCAAAAUCAGGCAAACGCGUAGAGCUUCUUCUUCUUCAGCUGGAAUCAGCUGCCGCAUCUUCAGCAUUUGAUCAUGGCCACACAUCAU